RNAcentral lists this ribosomal RNA (253 nucleotides) under uncultured bacterium. RNAcentral describes it as "partial 16S ribosomal RNA". It matches the Rfam family "Bacterial small subunit ribosomal RNA", at positions 524 to 776 of the family's 1533-position model. The record is from RNAcentral. RNAcentral also lists the same sequence under 1 other name.
UACGAAGGGGGCUAGCGUUGCUCGGAAUUACUGGGCGUAAAGGGCGCGUAGGCGGGUGUUUAAGUCAGAGGUUAAAUCCCAGGGCUCAACCCUGGAACUGCCUUUGAUACUGGGCACCUAGAGUUCGGGAGAGGUGUGUGGAACUCCGAGUGUAGAGGUGAAAUUCGUAGAUAUUCGGAAGAACACCAGUGGCGAAGGCGACACACUGGCCCGAUACUGACGCUGAUGCGCGAAAGCGUGGGGAGCAAACAGG